CGGCGUGCUUAGCGUUGCGGAAGUGGGCAGGAUUUCCGGGGUAUACGCCGCGAGAAAAGGCGUAUUUGCGCAAGGAGACGAGGUCUAACGCCCGAAAUUCGUUCUAGUACUUCCGCCACCUCGGGCGAUCUUCUGCCCUGAUUUGUCUGUACGGUUUUCCUAGACGGCUUACCGUGGUAGACCCUUCGAGGCGAGGAUUUUUAGCAUGGAAAGAAGACCGUAUGUGCUGCCCAGACAGAAGCACUUCUGAAGGCUUUUCGUGGACGCGAAAUUUCGAGUGCUUUUGUCUUCUUUGAAACCGCGGGUACAACCUGCUUCCCUGCCCCUCUUGUGUAGUCUCGAGCCUGGGGAGUGGACUGUUGACUAAUUCCAUGGUCCUUGGGCUGUACUGUUUCUGAUACCUUAAAUGUUGACGUUUCCCCCAGGAUUCUAACUUUUGCCCUCCUUCUCUGAGCACCUUGCCUUUUGAAUUCAAGCGAGUGCCAUGAUUUUUUAAAUGUUUUAUUUCCUUCGUAAAUGCGUUCAGACUUCUGAAUUUUCAUCUGGGUUAACUGUAAACAGCUCCCUAGACCAGAAACCUUGGAAUUACCCAUAAAACCCCUUUAUCACUGGGUUACUUUUUAGAAUAAAAUAAGUACCUCUUUAAUUCUGUCCCUUUUCAUCAGUAUUCUUAUCAGGCCCUCAUAGUUUUCUGGGGAACAAAUAUAAGAUGAGGUUAGAAAGGACGCUAGGAGAUCAAACCCAGAUGCUUAUGUGUGCUAAGCAAGCACUGCACUCUACCAUCCCCGUAACAGGCUUUUGAGAGGGGUAAUACAAGUUUUAAAAUGAACAUUUUCAGCAGGAUUUAGUGAUGCACACGUGUAUCACCAUUCAGGAAACUGAUGCAGGAAGAUUGCGGCAAGUUCAAGGCCAGUCUGGAAUACCCAGACCCUGUCUUAAAAUGCUGAAGGGGAAAAAAAAAAAAUGUGUUGCCUGUAGAUAGCCUGGGACAGUCCAAAGGUUGGGCUCUGGUAUCUGGGUAACAGUGAAAGAGAAUUGAUCUUUCAUUGCAUCAUCCUGGUUUUCCUUUUAUUCAUUAAGCCACUACUAUGGUGGUAGGCAUUAUGCUAUAUCUGGGUAUAUGUUAGUAAAACAGUUACUUUUGUAAAAAUCUGAAUUCUUUGCCUCCCAAAAUUGAAGAAUAAAUUUGACAACAAAAGGAGGAAUGUAGAGUAUUUAUUAGAAAUAAUAAAAGAAAGCUCUGGGUGGAAAGAAGUCCUACAGGCUUUCUUUGUCAUAACAUUAUGUCAAUACAUUAUGUGUAUGUUAGUAAAACAGUUACUUUUGUAAAAAUCUGAAUUCUUUGCCUCCCAAAAUUGAAGAAUAAAUUUGACAACAAAAGGAGGAAUGUAGAGUAUUUAUUAGAAAUAAUAAAAGAAAGCUCUGGGUGGAAAGAAGUCCUACAGGCUUUCUUUGUCAUAACAUUAUGUCAAUGGGCGGUGGUUGUUUCAAAGGUAAUGAAUUCAGAGUUUAAAAAUUGGUUAUCAAAGGCAACUUAGUAUACUCUGGUAAGUUUCUUUCUGGGUACAAAAAGUCUGUCCUCUAUUCUAACCUUUUAUCCUCCUUGUGUUUUCUUUUUACGUUUCUAAGCCUAGCUGGCUGCUAGAUUAACCAGCUGCUUGAAUCAGUUCUGUUAUCUGACCCUAUGGUUAGGAUGUUCUAACUGUCUACUAGUAAUAACUAAACUACUACAUUAGGCAGACUAACAUUUCUUUCUUCACGGGGCUUGUUUUCUGGUGAGGGGAAGGCAGUCAAGAAAAAAGUGGAAGUAAAAUAACAUUGUGUUAAGGUGCCUCAAUACAUGGGAAGUGCCGUCAGAGUGCAUAUUGGAGAGAGAAAUGUCACUUCUUACUUUAUGUAGAGUAGUUAUGUGAGGAGUGACCAGAGGUAGGGUCGAAUCAGAAGAAGGACAAGGAAACUUGAUUUUGUUUGUUUCCUUAAAUACCUUAAACUUAACAAAAGAAUUUUGAGAGCUCGGUUCUUCAUAUAGAUAUGUAUAAUAAAUACUAAAGGAGUAUUUACUGCAAUAGCUUGUUAGCCCUAAAUUACUUACCUUGUCUCAUUCUCUUGUAAGACAGAGGACACCAAGAUAAAGAGUACUGGAAGAGAUUUUAAGGAUUUAUAAGGCAUAGCUUUCAAAGCAACAAUUUCUAGACCCCUGAAUCACAGUGCUAACAAGUCUCCAGCCAUUGUUCUAAUCAUCUUGGGUUCUAGGAAAAGCAGAGGCUUACAGAUCACCCAUGAUACCACCUCUCCCAAAGAGGCGCAGAUGCCUCAUAUGGAAAGCAGGGUAUCCUCCUACUAAGCAAGAACAACCAUCUCAUGGGGACUAAUUGUCUUUCAAGCUGUAAGGAUCCCUCCAGAGCUACAAAGCAGGAACUGAGAAUAAGUGACCAAACCCUGGCCCACCUUACCAAAUUCAUAAUGGCUGGUCUCUGUCUUUUGUGAGGUACCAGUCUAAAUUUCAUUAGUAGUCCCUUCCAAUUGCACAAGCCAGAAUUCUGUGUUUACCUAACUCUGCUUCAUAAACCUGGCUGUACCUCUAACAAGUCCUGAAAUUGUUUUCUGUGACAGGAGUUCACAAACCUACUCCAUGGAGUGACAGAACCUUUAACCUGAAAAUCAGGAUGAUUUUUAUCAUCCUGAUGAUGAGGAAUGAAGGUGAGGCUGGAGGGACCAUUCCAGGCAGAGGGAAUGUGUGCUAAGGCCCUGAUUCAGGUCUGAUAGUACCAGGCGUCAAGAGUUCUGUAUUCUAUGAACUGAAUGACAAAGCCAUGAGAGCAGUAGUGAGGAAAUGAAGUGAGCAUGCAGUUACCUGUUAAGAUAUCAGGUGCAGUGGAAAAGUAAUCACCAUAUUAGGCAGGGAAACAAACUGAUAUUGUACUUUUUUUUUUCUUUUUGUGGUGUUAGAGAUUGAAUUAAGGGCUUCACACUUGGUAGUCAACUGCUCUGCCACUGAACUACAUCCCCAGCCUCUAAUAAACAUUUUUAAAAGGUCAUUCUGCCUACUGAGAAAUGACUUCAAGAAGAACAGAAGUGCAAGUGAGCAUUUAAAUUAAGAGGCUGUUGCAGGCUGGGAAUUUAGCUCAGUGGCACUGUGCUUACAUGUAAGUGCAAGAUCCCGAGUUUGAUCCCUGGUACCAAAACAACAACAAAGGCUCUUGCAAAUGAGGAAAAGAGGUGGUAGUAGAUUGGACCAAUGUGGUUGCAGAGGGAGUAGUGCAAUUUUAGACAUUUAGGUGGUAAAAAUGCUACAGUUUGCUGAUGAAUGGUUAUGAGAGUUAGGAACAUAGGAAUUGAACUAUCCACGAGUGACUUGGGCUUGAGUUUCUAGUUUGAAUGUCUGGCUUCAGUAUUCAGAUAGAUGGUGAGGCAAGGGCUAUAUCUGAGAUGAAAAUGACCUAAAUGGAAAAAAAAAAAAAAAA
This is a long non-coding RNA of Fukomys damarensis (Damara mole-rat), 3464 nucleotides long. RefSeq lists it as uncharacterized. NCBI's taxonomy places the organism in Eukaryota, Metazoa, Chordata, Mammalia, Rodentia, Bathyergidae. The transcript has 2 exons. The record is from RefSeq and is a predicted model, not a curated record.